AGAGUUUGAUCCUGGCUCAGAGUGAACGCUGGCGGUAGGCCUAACACAUGCAAGUCGGACGGCAGCACAGUAAGAGCUUGCUCUUACGGGUGGCGAGUGGCGGACGGGUGAGGAAUACAUCGGAAUCUACUUUUUCGUGGGGGAUAACGUAGGGAAACUUACGCUAAUACCGCAUACGACCUACGGGUGAAAGCAGGGGAUCUUCGGACCUUGCGCGAUUGAAUGAGCCGAUGUCGGAUUAGCUAGUUGGCGGGGUAAAGGCCCACCAAGGCGACGAUCCGUAGCUGGUCUGAGAGGAUGAUCAGCCACACUGGAACUGAGACACGGUCCAGACUCCUACGGGAGGCAGCAGUGGGGAAUAUUGGACAAUGGGCGCAAGCCUGAUCCAGCCAUACCGCGUGGGUGAAGAAGGCCUUCGGGUUGUAAAGCCCUUUUGUUGGGAAAGAAAUCCAGCUGGUUAAUACCCGGUUGGGAUGACGGUACCCAAAGAAUAAGCACCGGCUAACUUCGUGCCAGCAGCCGCGGUAAUACGAAGGGUGCAAGCGUUACUCGGAAUUACUGGGCGUAAAGCGUGCGUAGGUGGUCGUUUAAGUCUGUUGUGAAAGCCCUGGGCUCAACCUGGGAACUGCAGUGGAAACUGGACGACUAGAGUGUGGUAGAGGGUAGCGGAAUUCCUGGUGUAGCAGUGAAAUGCGUAGAGAUCACGAGGAACAUCCAUGGCGAAAGCAGCUACCUGGACCAACACUGACACUGA
This 754-nucleotide ribosomal RNA is filed under the name uncultured bacterium. Its description in RNAcentral is "bacterial SSU rRNA". It matches the Rfam family "Bacterial small subunit ribosomal RNA", at positions 8 to 749 of the family's 1533-position model. The record is from RNAcentral.